This 255-nucleotide ribosomal RNA is filed under the name uncultured bacterium. RNAcentral describes it as "partial small subunit ribosomal RNA". It matches the Rfam family "Bacterial small subunit ribosomal RNA", at positions 26 to 291 of the family's 1533-position model. The record is from RNAcentral.
AGGACGAACGCUUGCGGCGUGCCUAAGAAAUGCAAGUCGAGCGGGGGAGCAAUCCCUAGCGGCGAACGGUCGCGUAACACGUAAGCAACCUGCCCGAAAGACCGGGACAACAGCUCGAAAGGGCUGCUAAUACCGGAUGUGCCCACUUUGCCUCAUGGCUUGGUGAGUAAAUCAUUUAUGGCUUUCGGAGGGGCUUGCGGCCUAUCAGCUAGAUGGCGGUGUAACGGACCACCAUGGCGACGACGGGUAGCUGGU